This 253-nucleotide ribosomal RNA is filed under the name uncultured bacterium. RNAcentral describes it as "partial 16S ribosomal RNA". It matches the Rfam family "Bacterial small subunit ribosomal RNA", at positions 524 to 776 of the family's 1533-position model. The record is from RNAcentral.
UGCAGAGGGGGCAAGCGUUGUUCGGAAUUACUGGGCGUAAAGGGCGCGUAGGCGGCCUGUUAAGUCGAACGUGAAAUCCCCGGGCUCAACCCGGGAACUGCGUCCGAUACUGGCAGGCUUGAAUCCGGGAGAGGGAUGCGGAAUUCCAGGUGUAGCGGUGAAAUGCGUAGAUAUCUGGAGGAACACCGGUGGCGAAGGCGGCAUUCUGGACCGAUAUUGACGCUGAGGAGCGAAAGCCAGGGGAGCAAACGGG